CAGAAGUGGGGCAACCUGCCGACGUACUAAAGCCAGAACUGUUGCCAUUAACAGUCCAGUGACUGUGGAACCAGCUGGAGCAACCUCUGCAGUACCCCCUCAGCUUUUUGAAGAUGAGAUUCAGCAAUUGCAGGAGCUUUUGGUUGAUCAACCAUCAACCUCUUCCUCAUGGUGCCUGCGCCAAAGUGCUGCCCAAUUGGAGUGGCAAAAGGCAAGGUCCCAUCACUUGGACA
Gymnodraco acuticeps is the source of this 233-nucleotide long non-coding RNA. RefSeq lists it as uncharacterized. The transcript is spliced from 3 exons. The record is from RefSeq and is a predicted model, not a curated record. NCBI's taxonomy places the organism in Eukaryota, Metazoa, Chordata, Actinopteri, Perciformes, Bathydraconidae.